ACAACCAACGGGGUGGUCUGAACUCUAAAACAACAACAAAACAAAGAUCGCUACACGUGUCAUUAAUUAAAUCAAUGAUUUCAUUUGCAUGAAUGGCUGAUUGUUAAUACAAACAAGUAGUUUUGUUUUUAAGGCCUAAAAUUAAAUUUGUUUCAAGGCUGUGCUAUUGUUAAAAUGUAACUCAGGUUAGGGAGUCUGCUUGAUACCUUCCAUCUUUUGCCAGCUACCAUAUCAAGAAAGUUAGCCGUCGUGUUUCUAGCAAUAAAAACGGUUUAAAAGAUGUACAUCACGGGUUUUAUUCCCCAGGACGGAGUGCCAGCCCAUCCCAGAUCUACCUGACUGUGACUGUGUCACCCUCAAAGUCAAGAACAAUUUCCAGGAACCAUAUUUUGAAUUCGAGGCUAAGAUACCUUACAGCCAGGAUAAAUAUCUGCUGCAUUAUCUGGAGUCUGCUGCUAAUCAAAACACACAGUUCAUGUUCACGGCCAAAUACUUCACCACACAGAGGGGGUUCUUUAUUCAAGCAAUCAACGAUUUAUUUGGAGUCGAGGAAAGCAAAACUUUCUGGAAGAUCUUGGAUGACUUCACUGACACUCCGCUGGAUCUCGGUGUGUCCGCCUAUGUCCCCAGCAAAGGACAAAGCAUACGGUUUGAGUUUGUUUCCUGGGAAAACUACAAGUGUCGAGAAGAUUAAAUCAUCCAAGGAA
Physella acuta is the source of this 707-nucleotide long non-coding RNA. RefSeq lists it as uncharacterized. NCBI's taxonomy places the organism in Eukaryota, Metazoa, Mollusca, Gastropoda, Physidae. The record is from RefSeq and is a predicted model, not a curated record.